UAAUACAUGCAAGUCGAACGCACAGCGAAAGGUGCUUGCACCUUUCAAGUGAGUGGCGAACGGGUGAGUAACACGUGGACAACCUGCCUCAAGGCUGGGGAUAACAUUUGGAAACAGAUGCUAAUACCGAAUGAAACUUAGUGUCGCAUGACACAAAGUUAAAAGGCGCUUUGGCGUCACCUAGAGAUGGAUCCGCGGUGCAUUAGUUAGUUGGUGGGGUAAAGGCCUACCAAGACAAUGAUGCAUAGCCGAGUUGAGAGACUGAUCGGCCACAUUGGGACUGAGACACGGCCCAAACUCCUACGGGAGGCUGCAGUAGGGAAUCUUCCACAAUGGGCGAAAGCCUGAUGGAGCAACGCCGCGUGUGUGAUGAAGGCUUUCGGGUCGUAAAGCACUGUUGUAUGGGAAGAACAGCUAGAAUAGGGAAUGAUUUUAGUUUGACGGUACCAUACCAGAAAGGGACGGCUAAAUACGUGCCAGCAGCCGCGGUAAUACGUAUGUCCCGAGCGUUAUCCGGAUUUAUUGGGCGUAAAGCGAGCGCAGACGGUUGAUUAAGUCUGAUGUGAAAGCCCGGAGCUCAACUCCGGAAUGGCAUUGGAAACUGGUUAACUUGAGUGCAGUAGAGGUAAGUGGAACUCCAUGU
This 643-nucleotide ribosomal RNA is filed under the name Leuconostoc pseudomesenteroides. RNAcentral's name for it is "bacterial SSU rRNA". It matches the Rfam family "Bacterial small subunit ribosomal RNA", at positions 49 to 674 of the family's 1533-position model. Lineage: Bacteria; Bacillati; Bacillota; Bacilli; Lactobacillales; Lactobacillaceae. The record is from RNAcentral.